GUGGACGCAUCACUGGUGUUCGGGUUGUCAUGCCAAUGGCACUGCCCGGUAGCUAAAUGCGGAAGAGAUAAGUGCUGAAAGCAUCUAAGCACGAAACUUGCCCCGAGAUGAGUUCUCCCUGAGACUUUAAGUCUCCUGAAGGAACGUUGAAGACGACGACGUUGAUAGGCCGGGUGUGUAAGCGCAGCGAUGCGUUGAGCUAACCGGUACUAAUGAACCGUGAGGCUUAACCUUACAACGCCGAAGCUGUU
Molecule: ribosomal RNA, 251 nt
Filed under: Salmonella enterica
Lineage: Bacteria; Pseudomonadati; Pseudomonadota; Gammaproteobacteria; Enterobacterales; Enterobacteriaceae
Also listed under: 1 other name
Description: partial 23S ribosomal RNA
Rfam family: Bacterial large subunit ribosomal RNA
Source: RNAcentral